ACGUUACCUCAAGAAGAAGCACCGGCUAACUCUGUGCCAGCAGCCGCGGUAAUACAGAGGGUGCAAGCGUUAAUCGGAAUUACUGGGCGUAAAGGGUGUGUAGGUGGUAAUGUAAGUUAGGUGUGAAAUCCUCGGGCUUAACCUGAGAACUGCGCUUAAUACUGCUUUACUAGAGUACUGCAGAGGGUAGUGGAAUUUCCAGUGUAGCGGUGAAAUGCGUAGAUAUUGGAAGGAACAUCAGUGGCGAAGGCGACUACCUGGAUAGAUACUGACACUGAGACACGAAAGCGUGGGUAGCAAACAGGAUUAGAUACCCUGGUAGUCCACGCUGUAAACGAUGAUAACUUGCUGUUGGAUGCAUAAAAGCAUUUAGUAGCGGAGCUAACGCGUUAAGUUAUCCGCCUGGGGAGUACGGUCGCAAGAUUAAAACUCAAAGGAAUUGACGGGGGCCCGCACAAGCGGUGGGGCAUGUGGUUUAAUUCGACGCAACGCGAAGAACCUUACCUACUUUUGAAUCCAUGGAAUCUGGCAGAAAUGUCGGAGUGCCUUC
RNAcentral lists this ribosomal RNA (550 nucleotides) under uncultured bacterium. RNAcentral describes it as "bacterial SSU rRNA". It matches the Rfam family "Bacterial small subunit ribosomal RNA", at positions 472 to 1021 of the family's 1533-position model. The record is from RNAcentral.